Oryctolagus cuniculus (rabbit) is the source of this 103-nucleotide small nuclear RNA. The record is from Ensembl. NCBI's taxonomy places the organism in Eukaryota, Metazoa, Chordata, Mammalia, Lagomorpha, Leporidae.
AUGCUCACUUUGGAGCACAUAUACUAAAAGUAGAAUGAUACAGAGAUAAGCAUGGUUUCUGUGCACGGAUGACAUACAAUUUCACAAAGCAUCUCAUAUAUUU